Molecule: ribosomal RNA, 206 nt
Filed under: uncultured bacterium
Lineage: Bacteria
Description: partial 16S ribosomal RNA
Rfam family: Bacterial small subunit ribosomal RNA
Source: RNAcentral
CGUGUAGGCGGAGAUGUAAGUCCGGUGUGAAAUCCCUCGGCUCAACCGGGGAACGCCAUCGGAUACUGCAUCUCUAGAGUGCGGGAAGGGAGAGUGGAACUCUUGGUGGAGCGGUGAAAUGCGUAGAUAUCAAGAGGAACGCCGGUGGCGAAAGCGACUCUCUUGUCCGUUACUGACGCUGAGGCGCGAAAGCUAGGGAGCAAACG